GAUGAACGCUGGCGGCGUGCCUAAUACAUGCAAGUCGAGCGAACAGACGAGGAGCUUGCUCCUCUGACGUUAGCGGCGGACGGGUGAGUAACACGUGGAUAACCUACCUAUAAGACUGGGAUAACUUCGGGAAACCGAAGCUAAUACCGGAUAACAUGUUGAACCGCAUGGUUUAACAGUGAAAGACGGUCUUGCUGUCACUUAUAGAUGGAUCCGCGCCGCAUUAGCUAGUUGGUAAGGUAACGGCUUACCAAGGCAACGAUGCGUAGCCGACCUGAGAGGGUGAUCGGCCACACUGGAACUGAGACACGGUCCAGACUCCUACGGGAGGCAGCAGUAGGGAAUCUUCCGCAAUGGGCGAAAGCCUGACGGAGCAACGCCGCGUGAGUGAAGAAGGUCUUCGGAUCGUAAAACUCUGUUAUUAGGGAAGAACAAAUGUGUAAGUAACUAUGCACGUCUUGACGGUACCUAAUCAGAAAGCCACGGCUAACUACGUG
Molecule: ribosomal RNA, 497 nt
Filed under: uncultured bacterium
Lineage: Bacteria
Description: partial 16S ribosomal RNA
Rfam family: Bacterial small subunit ribosomal RNA
Source: RNAcentral